Molecule: unclassified non-coding RNA, 399 nt
Filed under: Hevea brasiliensis (rubber tree)
Lineage: Eukaryota; Viridiplantae; Streptophyta; Magnoliopsida; Malpighiales; Euphorbiaceae
Source: RNAcentral
GUUUUGAAGCUUUCUGAAAGGUAGCAAAAGUACUUUUCCCUCCCCUUUUUGGUCUAGUGGGGAUGGGGUGAGGGUGUGUGUGGAAGUCUUAGGGCUUCAUCUCACCAAACUGUGUGCUGUAACCAAGUGCAUGAGAAAACAUUUCUAAUGAAUCCUUCUCUUCUUACAGAAUUCCUCUCUCCAUUUCAUUGUCUUGUCUGAAGGGAAGGGAUAACUAGAUACAUACUGCAACAGUCCAAAUGAAAUAUGAUGAGAACUUUUGUAGAAGGUUUAGAUAAUUAAAAUUUUUAAAGCAUCUUGGUGAAAUUAUUUAUUCUGAUACUUUUCCUUUUUGAUUGGUGGUUCAAAGUAUGUACCUAGUACUUUAGUGAACUAGAUGCUUUUGAUAGGUAAUAUAUU